RNAcentral lists this ribosomal RNA (253 nucleotides) under uncultured bacterium. RNAcentral's name for it is "partial 16S ribosomal RNA". It matches the Rfam family "Bacterial small subunit ribosomal RNA", at positions 524 to 776 of the family's 1533-position model. The record is from RNAcentral.
UACAGAGGGGGCAAGCGUUAUUCGGAAUUAUUGGGCGUAAAGAGCGUGUAGGCGGUCCGGUAAGUCAGCUGUGAAAGUCAAGGGCUCAACCCUUGAAUGCCGGUUGAUACUGUCGGGCUAGAGUCCGGAAGAGGCGAGUGGAAUUCCCGGUGUAGCGGUGAAAUGCGCAGAUAUCGGGAGGAACACCAAUGGCGAAGGCAGCUCGCUGGGACGGUACUGACGCUGAGACGCGAAAGCGUGGGGAGCAAACAGG